RNAcentral lists this ribosomal RNA (618 nucleotides) under Vibrio cholerae. RNAcentral's name for it is "partial 23S ribosomal RNA". It matches the Rfam family "Bacterial large subunit ribosomal RNA", at positions 1 to 673 of the family's 2925-position model. Lineage: Bacteria; Pseudomonadati; Pseudomonadota; Gammaproteobacteria; Vibrionales; Vibrionaceae. The record is from RNAcentral.
GGUUAAGUGACUAAGCGUACACGGUGGAUGCCUAGGCAGUCAGAGGCGAUGAAGGACGUACUAACUUGCGAUAAGCGCAGAUAAGGCAGUAAGAGCCGUUUGAGUCUGCGAUUUCCGAAUGGGGAAACCCAACUGCAUAAGCAGUUACUGUUAACUGAAUACAUAGGUUAACAGAGCAAACCGGGGGAACUGAAACAUCUAAGUACCCCGAGGAGAAGAAAUCAACCGAGAUUCCGGUAGUAGCGGCGAGCGAACCUGGAUUAGCCCUUAAGCACUCGGUGAAGUAGGUGAACAAGCUGGAAAGCUUGGCGAUACAGGGUGAUAGCCCCGUAACCGACGCUUCAUCGAGCGUGAAAUCGAGUAGGGCGGGACACGUGAUAUCCUGUCUGAAUAUGGGGGGACCAUCCUCCAAGGCUAAAUACUCCUGACUGACCGAUAGUGAACCAGUACCGUGAGGGAAAGGCGAAAAGAACCCCUGUGAGGGGAGUGAAAUAGAACCUGAAACCGUGUACGUACAAGCAGUAGGAGCACCUUCGUGGUGUGACUGCGUACCUUUUGUAUAAUGGGUCAGCGACUUAUAUUCAGUGGCAAGGUUAACCGUAUAGGGGAGCCGUAGCG